Molecule: ribosomal RNA, 497 nt
Filed under: uncultured bacterium
Lineage: Bacteria
Description: partial 16S ribosomal RNA
Rfam family: Bacterial small subunit ribosomal RNA
Source: RNAcentral
GAUGAACGCUGGCGGCGUGCCUAAUACAUGCAAGUCGAGCGAACGGACGAGAAGCUUGCUUCUCUGAUGUUAGCGGCGGACGGGUGAGUAACACGUGUAUAACCUACCUAUAAGACUGGGAUAACUUCGGGAAACCGGAGCUAAUACCGGAUAAUAUUUUGAACCGCAUGGCUCAAAAGUGAAAGACGGUCUUGCUGUCACUUAUAGAUGGAUACGGGCUGCAUUAGCUAGUUGGUAAGGUAACGGCUUACCAAGGCAACGAUGCAUAGCCGACCUGAGAGGGUGAUCGGACACACUGGAACUGAGACACGGUCCAGACUCCUACGGGAGGCAGCAGUAGGGAAUCUUCCGCGAUGGGCGAAAGCCUGACGGAGCAACGCCGCGUGAGUGAUGAAGGUCUUCGGAUCGUAAAACUCUGUUAGUAGGGAAGAACAUAUGUGUAAGUAACCGUGCACAUCUUGACGGUACCUAAUCAGAAAGCCACGGCUAACUACGUG